RNAcentral lists this long non-coding RNA (199 nucleotides) under Lathyrus oleraceus (garden pea). Its description in RNAcentral is "Pisum sativum (pea) long non-coding RNA (PSAT_LNC035598)". Lineage: Eukaryota; Viridiplantae; Streptophyta; Magnoliopsida; Fabales; Fabaceae. The record is from RNAcentral.
AAUCCUAUAGUUUUUAUUCUAUCAAAGGUGCAAAUGGUUCUUUUAAAGGAGUUGAAGGGAUGAAUCAUGAUAGUCCCAUUGUUAGGGGUGCGGACGUUGAUUCCCCUCCCCCAUAACGUCUCCUACAGAUAUGGAACCUACCGAGGUUGCCCAGAAUGAAUGGAUGACUCGUUGUAUCAUUAAAUAUUUUAAGGCGGAU